UCGAGGGGUCUACGAUUUCUUUCCACUCCACAAAGAGGACUCCUUUCAAAUCCUCUAUUCCGUGUCACACGUGCAAUCUCAGGCCUCCUCGUGUGUUCACUUCUUCGGCUUUCCUGAGGAACAUGCCCUGCUCCCGCCACGCUGGGAUAACUAAACACAUUUUCCUUCCAAAGGCCACUUUUUUCUAAGCUCCAAGAUUUAUCCCAAUCAGCACCCAUCGACUUUUGAGUAUUUCUGGAUGUUGAGGCCUGGGCUGGUGGGACCCACCAAUGCAAGAAGGGAUCGCGGCCCGGCUCCCACCGAGGUCCUGAUCAGGUUCGGGGAGACCAGACUAACGGACGUGCAACGGCUGGAAGCAGUGGGAGACGGGGUGUAAUUAAGUGCUGAAUGUAAUACUGACUCUAAUCAUAACUGUAGCUUCCAGCUAUUUAGAGCUCAAUGGAGCAAGUUGCUCUACAAAUUGCUAACAGUAUCUUACUUCAACUUCAAAUAACCCUUUGAGGUAGAGUUCUUCAAAUAUGGUUUUAUUUGUCAUUCUCCAAUGUGAAAAAUCCUAAAAGAAGAAGAUACAGAUAAGCAAUUUGAAUUUCAGAAGAUGAAUGAUAUUUGAAAGGGAGUCGGGGAGAAUGUUUAAUGCAUUUAACAGGAAAACAUCUUCAUUUCGAUCUAAUCACAGCGUAGAUGCAGGCAGUGCUCAUUCCUCAGAAACAAGCAGCCUCCAGGCUGACAGACCCACAAUUCCAGAAACCCUUGUACUCUUCUCCUGCUACCUGAUCCGAUAAAAGCCCUCCAGAUUCCCGGGACUCUGCUCCAUGAGACAGGGAGUUGAGAUGACUGCCUUUUAAACUCUAGCGCUGCAGCUAUGCUCAGAAGAACUUCGGAAGGACUCGUUAACACAUCAGGUUAACAUCCCAUCUGGCUGCUAAGCUUAUAUUCUGAAGAAAAGGGUGCUUUCUGAAGAAAAAUUGUUAACACAAGCUCUUGACGGUUCUCCAUGUGUCUUACAUGAAGCGCUGAGGACACAAAGAUUAGGAAAAUAUUGGACCUACCUUUAAUGAAUGAACCACGGCCAAAUGGAAAAAGAACUUUGUCUCUGACUGGGAAGAAGCCACCAACAUUUCUGGGUCAAUUUGGUAGAAAAGCAACCCACAGUGUAUUGAACAUUUAUUCUGUGCUUGACACUGGCCAGGUAAGCUCUACACCCAACAUGGGACUCGAACUCAGAAUCCUGAGAUCAACAGUCACGUUCUCUACUGACUGAGCCAGCCAGGCACCCCUCUGUUGCUUGAUCCUUUAUAUCUUGGCCUAGAUUCUCCUGCAGCACCCCUCUGAUUCCUCUCCAAGGCACAUGGAUGCGAGUAGCCAUAUAUGGUUGGUCUCUGUCCUGUGCAGCACAUCCCUUCUUCAGAUAACAGCAACUGCCUUUCACUGAAUUCUCUUUCAAUAA
Canis lupus familiaris (dog) is the source of this 1447-nucleotide long non-coding RNA. RefSeq lists it as uncharacterized. The record is from RefSeq and is a predicted model, not a curated record. NCBI's taxonomy places the organism in Eukaryota, Metazoa, Chordata, Mammalia, Carnivora, Canidae. The transcript is spliced from 5 exons.